GAUGAACGCUAGCGACAGGCCUAACACAUGCAAGUCGAGGGGCAGCACGAGGUAGCAAUACUAGGGUGGCGACCGGCGGACGGGUGAGUAACACGUAUGCAACCUACCUGCAAGAGGGGAAUAACCCGUUGAAAAACGGACUAAUACCGCAUAACACUGUAGAACCGCAUGGUUUGACAGUUAAACAUUUAUGGCUUACAGAUGGGCAUGCGCAUGAUUAGCUAGUUGGUGAGGUAACGGCUCACCAAGGCAACGAUCAUUAGGGGUUCUGAGAGGAAGGUCCCCCCAACUGGUACUGAGACACGGACCAGACUCCUACGGGAGGCAGCAGUGAGGAAUAUUGGUCAAUGGGCGAGAGCCUGAACCAGCCAAGUCGCGUGAAGGAUGAAGGUUUUAUGAAUUGUAAACUUCUUUGCAGGGAAUAAAGUGUCCGACGUGUCGGAUUUUGAUGUACCCUGCGAAUAGGAUCGGCUAACUCCGUGCCAGCAGCCGCGGUAAAACG
This 502-nucleotide ribosomal RNA is filed under the name uncultured bacterium. RNAcentral describes it as "bacterial SSU rRNA". It matches the Rfam family "Bacterial small subunit ribosomal RNA", at positions 28 to 527 of the family's 1533-position model. The record is from RNAcentral.